Molecule: long non-coding RNA, 387 nt
Organism: Hevea brasiliensis (rubber tree)
Lineage: Eukaryota; Viridiplantae; Streptophyta; Magnoliopsida; Malpighiales; Euphorbiaceae
Exons: 3
Source: RefSeq, a predicted model, not a curated record
CUCGGGAAGAUUUUAGCCCAUUUCGACUUUUGGGCUAGAUUUCUCGAAAACCGUGAAUCCCACGAGAAAACCGAGGCCACCAGCACGCUCCAUUCGUCGAGAGCUUCGCAACGACAUAAAUUUCGAAUUUUUCCGACACCGUUUUUCGGUAUCCUCGAUUCGCGGAAAUUCGACAGUUGACCGGGUCUGCAAAUUUCGGGCCAGACAGACCCGUUACCGGAAAAGUCUCCGAAUUGGACCGAGGUUUUGGCUAGCCCCCCAUUGUCAGACGUCCCGAGCGCGUUCCCGAAGUCGGAAUCGGCAAAGGUGAGCCGGGACAGCCUUCUUCCUCCGCCCAGCCGCCACAGUAAUUUGUCGUCCAGUUUGUGAGUAAAAUAUUAAUUUUAA